AAUAAAAUUCGGGCGCCCUUUUCAGAGCGCCCUUCAUGGGAGAGGAGAAACCGGACGAAGAGCUUAUGGGGAAACGUAAGUCUUCUCCGCGG
Molecule: non-coding RNA, 92 nt
Organism: Paenibacillus sp. DMB20
Lineage: Bacteria; Bacillati; Bacillota; Bacilli; Caryophanales; Paenibacillaceae
Source: Rfam